Molecule: ribosomal RNA, 253 nt
Filed under: uncultured bacterium
Lineage: Bacteria
Description: partial 16S ribosomal RNA
Rfam family: Bacterial small subunit ribosomal RNA
Source: RNAcentral
CGCAAGACCGCGAGGUUUAGCAAAUCUCUUAAAGCCGUUCUCAGUUCGGAUUGUAGGCUGCAACUCGCCUACAUGAAGUCGGAAUCGCUAGUAAUCGCGGAUCAGCAUGCCGCGGUGAAUACGUUCCCGGGCCUUGUACACACCGCCCGUCACACCAUGAGAGUUUGUAACACCCAAAGCCGGUGGGGUAACCUUUUGGAGCCAGCCGUCUAAGGUGGGACAGAUGAUUGGAGUGAAGUCGUAACAAGGUAAC